Molecule: unclassified non-coding RNA, 254 nt
Filed under: fungal sp.
Lineage: Eukaryota; Fungi
Description: partial internal transcribed spacer region
Rfam family: Eukaryotic small subunit ribosomal RNA (bases 1-46)
Source: RNAcentral
AAGUCGUAACAAGGUUUCCGUAGGUGAACCUGCGGAAGGAUCAUUAGUGAAUUUACUUUUCCUCUUUUAGAGGAGGGUUGGCGAGCCUCCGGGCUUGUCUUCCUGGAAAAUACACAUCCAUAACACCUGUGAAAUGUCUUGUCAGGCCCAGUUGCUCUGUGCGCUGGUCUUGUCAAACCUACAAACUUACUCUGUAAAAAAUGUCGAAUUAUUAUAAUCUAAUAAAACUUUUAACAACGGAUCUCUUGGCUCUC